AGCCUCGAUCGCCGAAGAAGGAAUCUUCUCAUGCUGGCCUUAGAAUGGAUGAUGAUCGUGAGAGUCUGACAGCGACUAAAGCGAUUUCGACGGUUUCUGAUGUUGAAACCCAGCGAGAGGAGAAGUUCCAGAUAGAUCUGAUGGCUCCACCACCAGUAAGAUCAUCCCCAGAAAGAGACAGUGAGAUUGGCUUUGUGCCUGUAGAUCAUAAACCUAUAAUCACAGACGUCGAAACGGAAAUAAAACCGGCGGUUAAAGAAGAUGAUAAGUCUCUGAAAAUUGGAAAAGAUGUGUGUGUGGAACCAGAGGAGAAAAAGACAAAACUGGUAGCCGAAGAUGUUGAAUCGCAUAAACCAAAUGCUAGUAAAGAGAGGAAUAUUGAUCUGCAGCUUGAUUUGGAGAAAUCUGAUAGAGAUAGUGGCGUCGUUACCGGAAGUGGUAACAAGUUGCACCAUCAUGUUCAGAAACAACAGCAGCAGCAGCAACCAAACACCGAGAAAGCUGCUCAAUCAAGUUCUCUUCCUCUACCCAUGUCAAUGGCUAGUUGGCCGGGUGGGCUUCCUCACAUGGGAUAUAUGGCACCUCUACAAGGAGUUGUAUCCAUGGACGUGAGCACUGUAUCUUCUGCAGCUAUACAGCCUCCACAUUUGCUUUUUAGUCAACCAAGGCCGAAGAGGGGUGCAACGCAUUACUACAUUGCACGGAAUAUUCAUUAUCACCAGCAAUUUACAAGGAUGAA
RNAcentral lists this unclassified non-coding RNA (739 nucleotides) under Hevea brasiliensis (rubber tree). The record is from RNAcentral. Lineage: Eukaryota; Viridiplantae; Streptophyta; Magnoliopsida; Malpighiales; Euphorbiaceae.